Molecule: ribosomal RNA, 253 nt
Filed under: uncultured bacterium
Lineage: Bacteria
Description: partial 16S ribosomal RNA
Rfam family: Bacterial small subunit ribosomal RNA
Source: RNAcentral
UACAGAGGUCUCAAGCGUUGUUCGGAUUCAUUGGGCGUAAAGGGUGCGUAGGUGGCGCGCUAAGUCAGGUGUGAAAUCUCGGGGCUUAACUCCGAAACUGCAUUUGAUACUGGCGUGCUUGAGGACUGGAGAGGAGACUGGAAUUCAUGGUGUAGCAGUGAAAUGCGUAGAGAUCAUGAGGAAGACCAGUGGCGAAGGCGGGUCUCUGGACAGUUCCUGACACUGAGGCACGAAAGCCGGGGGAGCAAACAGG